UGAAAUCUGGCGUCCUCAGGGCGUCCGAGUUGUAAUCUAUAGAGGCGUUUUCCGUGCCGGACCGUGUCCAAGUUCCUUGGAACAGGAUAUCAAGGAGGGUGACAAUCCCGUACUUGACACGACGACCGGUGCUCUGUGAUACGUCUUCUACGAGUCGAGUUGUUUGGGAAUGCAGCUCAAAAUGGGUGGUGAGUUCCAUCUAAAGCUAAAUAUUGGCGAGAGACCGAUAGCGAACAAGUACCGUGAGGGAAAGAUGAAAAGCACUUUGGAAAGAGAGUUAAACAGUACGUGAAAUUGUUGAAAGGGAAACGAUUGAAGUCAGUCGUGACCGAGAGGCUCAGCCGGUUCUGCCGGUGUAUUCCCCUCGGUCGGGUCAACAUCAGUUUUGUCCGGUGGAUAAGGGCGGUAGGAAGGUGGCACCCUCGGGUGUGUUAUAGCCUGCCGUCGCAUACAUCGGGUGAGACUGAGGAACGCAGCUCGCCUUUAUGGCCGGGGUUCGCCCACGUCCGAGCUUAGGAUGUUGACAUAAUGGCUUUAAACGACCCGUCUU
RNAcentral lists this ribosomal RNA (550 nucleotides) under uncultured Papiliotrema. RNAcentral's name for it is "partial large subunit ribosomal RNA". It matches the Rfam family "Eukaryotic large subunit ribosomal RNA", at positions 116 to 655 of the family's 3401-position model. The record is from RNAcentral. Lineage: Eukaryota; Fungi; Basidiomycota; Tremellomycetes; Tremellales; Tremellaceae.